CCAUACUACAUGCGAGUUGAGACCCAUCUUUUUAUAUAUAAAUAAUGUAACUAUUUUUUCUACAUAAAUAUGUCCUUAUCAAUUUACCUAUCAUGUAUUAGACAUGUCGGUUUUUUUUUUUUUUUUUUGCGCAUAUAUCACCAUAAUUUUCCAACAAAACAAGUAUACUUGAUCAAUACUUUUUUGGGAAUAAAAAUAAUUUGUAUUACAUAGAUAUUAUUAUUGUUUCUUUAGUGUAUAUAUAUAUAUAUUAGGUUAUUUAUGUAUAUCGGUGUGCG
Molecule: long non-coding RNA, 278 nt
Filed under: Prunus persica (peach)
Lineage: Eukaryota; Viridiplantae; Streptophyta; Magnoliopsida; Rosales; Rosaceae
Description: long non-coding RNA (PPER_LNC007252)
Source: RNAcentral